This 497-nucleotide ribosomal RNA is filed under the name uncultured bacterium. Its description in RNAcentral is "partial 16S ribosomal RNA". It matches the Rfam family "Bacterial small subunit ribosomal RNA", at positions 28 to 507 of the family's 1533-position model. The record is from RNAcentral.
GAUGAACGCUGGCGGCGUGCCUAAUACAUGCAAGUCGAGCGAACAGACGAGGAGCUUGCUCCUCUGACGUUAGCGGCGGACGGGUGAGUAACACGUGGAUAACCUACCUAUAAGACUGGGAUAACUUCGGGAAACCGGAGCUAAUACCGGAUAAUAUAUUGAACCGCAUGGUUCAAUAGUGAAAGACGGUUUUGCUGUCACUUAUAGAUGGAUCCGCGCCGCAUUAGCUAGUUGGUAAGGUAACGGCUUACCAAGGCAACGAUGCAUAACCGACCUGAGAGGGUGAUCGGCCACACUGGAACUGAAACACAGUCCAGACUCCUACGGGAAACAGCAGUAGGGAAUCUUCCGCAAAAGGCGAAAGCCUGACGGAGCAACGCCGCGUAAUUGAUGAAGAUCUUCGGAUCGUAAAACUCUGUUAUUAGGGAAGAACAAAUGUGUAAGUAACUAUGCACGUCUUGACGGUACCUAAUCAGAAAGCCACGGCUAACUACGUG